GCCCGGGUGGUGGAACAGGUAGACACAAGGGACUUAAAAUCCCUUAGCCUUAUGGCUGUGCGGGUUCGACUCCCGCUCCGGGCACCA
RNAcentral lists this transfer RNA (87 nucleotides) under Desulfovibrio sp. Its description in RNAcentral is "tRNA-Leu". It matches the Rfam family "tRNA". From Rfam's summary of the family: Transfer RNA (tRNA) molecules are approximately 80 nucleotides in length. Their secondary structure includes four short double-helical elements and three loops (D, anti-codon, and T loops). Further hydrogen bonds mediate the characteristic L-shaped molecular structure. tRNAs have two regions of fundamental functional importance: the anti-codon, which is responsible for specific mRNA codon recognition, and the 3' end, to which the tRNAs corresponding amino acid is attached (by aminoacyl-tRNA synthetases). tRNAs cope with the degeneracy of the genetic code in two manners: having more than one tRNA (with a specific anti-codon) for a particular amino acid; and 'wobble' base-pairing, i.e. permitting non-standard base-pairing at the 3rd anti-codon position. Lineage: Bacteria; Pseudomonadati; Thermodesulfobacteriota; Desulfovibrionia; Desulfovibrionales; Desulfovibrionaceae. The record is from RNAcentral.